AACGAACGCUGGCGGCAUGCCUAACACAUGCAAGUCGAACGAAACCUUCGGGUCUAUUGGCGCACGGGUGCGUAACGCGUGGGAACCUGCCCUUAGGUUAGGAAUAACUCCCCGAAAGGGGUGCUAAUACCAGAUAAUGUCUUAGGACCAAAGAUUUAUCGCCUUUGGAUGGGCCCGCGUUGGAUUCGCUAGUUGGUAGUGUAAAAGCCUACCAAGGCGACGAUCCAUAGCUGGUCUGAGAGGAUGAUCAGCCACACUGGGACUGAGACACGGCCCAGACUCCUACGGGAGGCAGCAGUGGGGAAUAUUGGACACGGGGCGAAAGCCUGAUACAGCAAUGCCGCGUGAGUGAUGAAGGCCUUAGGGUUGUAAAGCUCUUUUACCCGGGAUGAUAAUGACAGUACCGGGAGAAUAAGCUCCGGCUAACUCCGUG
RNAcentral lists this ribosomal RNA (433 nucleotides) under uncultured bacterium. Its description in RNAcentral is "partial 16S ribosomal RNA". It matches the Rfam family "Bacterial small subunit ribosomal RNA", at positions 29 to 507 of the family's 1533-position model. The record is from RNAcentral.